UACAGAGGGUGCAAGCGUUGUUCGGAAUCAUUGGGCUUAAAGAGCGCGCAGGCGGUCGUUCAAGUCGAGUGUGAAAGCCCCCGGCUCAACUGGGGAGGGUCACGCGAUACUGAUCGACUCGAAGGCAGGAGAGGGUAGUGGAAUUCCCGGUGUAGUGGUGAAAUGCGUAGAUAUCGGGAGGAACACCAGUGGCGAAGGCGACUACCUGGCCUGUUUCUUGACGCUGAGGCGCGAAAGCUAGGGGAGCAAACGGG
RNAcentral lists this ribosomal RNA (254 nucleotides) under uncultured bacterium. Its description in RNAcentral is "partial 16S ribosomal RNA". It matches the Rfam family "Bacterial small subunit ribosomal RNA", at positions 524 to 776 of the family's 1533-position model. The record is from RNAcentral.